Molecule: ribosomal RNA, 212 nt
Filed under: uncultured bacterium
Lineage: Bacteria
Description: partial 16S ribosomal RNA
Rfam family: Bacterial small subunit ribosomal RNA
Source: RNAcentral
GCCUAUCUCAGUUCGGAUUGGAGGCUGAAACCCGCCUCCAUGAAGUUGGAUUCGCUAGUAAUCGCGCAUCAGCCAUGGCGCGGUAAAUACGUUCCCGGGCCUUGUACACACCGCCCGUCAAGCCAUGGGAGCCGGGGGUGCCUGAAGUUCGUUACCGCAAGGAUCGACCUAGGGCAAAACUGGUGACUGGGGCUAAGUCGUAACAAGGUACC